AGACAGAUGGCCGAGCGGUCUAUAGCGCUACGUUUAGGUUUCCCUUUAUGAAUCCAACUCGUACCUAGUCUCAAAAGGGGCGUGGGUUGGUUGGAAUCCCACUCUGUUCA
Copromyces sp. CBS 386.78 is the source of this 110-nucleotide non-coding RNA. Lineage: Eukaryota; Fungi; Ascomycota; Sordariomycetes; Sordariales; Sordariaceae. The record is from the annotation of a GenBank genome assembly.